UUUAUACGUCGAAUUUCGGUCGCGUCGAAUGCAACUGAAACGAUAGAUAAUGAAGGAAACAAUAAAUAAUGAAGCUUAAUGAGGUUUAUCAUCUCAUUAUCUAUUGUCUUAAUUGCAUUCGACGCGACCAAAAUUCGACGUAUAAA
Paramuricea clavata is the source of this 146-nucleotide non-coding RNA. The record is from the annotation of a GenBank genome assembly. Lineage: Eukaryota; Metazoa; Cnidaria; Anthozoa; Malacalcyonacea; Plexauridae.